AGAGUUUGAUCCUGGCUCAGGAUGAACGCUGGCGGCGUGCCUAAUACAUGCAAGUCGAGCGAACGGACGAGAAGCUUGCUUCUCUGAUGUUAGCGGCGGACGGGUGAGUAACACGUGGAUAACCUACCUAUAAGACUGGGAUAACUUCGGGAAACCGGAGCUAAUACCGGAUAAUAUUUUGAACCGCAUGGUUCAAAAGUGAAAGACGGUCUUGCUGUCACUUAUAGAUGGAUCCGCGCUGCAUUAGCUAGUUGGUAAGGUAACGGCUUACCAAGGCAACGAUGCAUAGCCGACCUGAGAGGGUGAUCGGCCACACUGGAACUGAGACACGGUCCAGACUCCUACGGGAGGCAGCAGUAGGGAAUCUUCCGCAAUGGGCGAAAGCCUGACGGAGCAACGCCGCGUGAGUGAUGAAGGUCUUCGGAUCGUAAAACUCUGUUAUUAGGGAAGAACAUAUGUGUAAGUAACUGUGCACAUCUUGACGGUACCUAAUCAGAAAGCCACGGCUAACUACGUGCCAGCAGCCGCGGUAAUACGUAGGUGGCAAGCGUUAUCCGGAAUUAUUGGGCGUAAAGCGCGCGUAGGCGGUUUUUUAAGUCUGAUGUGAAAGCCCACGGCUCAACCGUGGAGGGUCAUUGGAAACUGGAAAACUUGAGUGCAGAAGAGGAAAGUGGAAUUCCAUGUGUAGCGGUGAAAUGCGCAGAGAUAUGGAGGAACACCAGUGGCGAAGGCGACUUUCUGGUCUGUAACUGACGCUGAUGUGCGAAAGCGUGGGGAUCAAACAGGAUUAGAUACCCUGGUAGUCCACGCCGUAAACGAUGAGUGCUAAGUGUUAGGGGGUUUCCGCCCCUUAGUGCUGCAGCUAACGCAUUAAGCACUCCGCCUGGGGAGUACGACCGCAAGGUUGAAACUCAAAGGAAUUGACGGGGACCCGCACAAGCGGUGGAGCAUGUGGUUUAAUUCGAAGCAACGCGAAGAACCUUACCAAAUCUUGACAUCCUUUGACAACUCUAGAGAUAGAGCUUUCCCCUUCGGGGGACAAAGUGACAGGUGGUGCAUGGUUGUCGUCAGCUCGUGUCGUGAGAUGUUGGGUUAAGUCCCGCAACGAGCGCAACCCUUAAGCUUAGUUGCCAUCAUUAAGUUGGGCACUCUAAGUUGACUGCCGGUGACAAACCGGAGGAAGGUGGGGAUGACGUCAAAUCAUCAUGCCCCUUAUGAUUUGGGCUACACACGUGCUACAAUGGACAAUACAAAGGGCAGCGAAACCGUGAGGUCAAGCAAAUCCCAUAAAGUUGUUCUCAGUUCGGAUUGUAGUCUGCAAC
RNAcentral lists this ribosomal RNA (1322 nucleotides) under Staphylococcus aureus F63786. RNAcentral describes it as "bacterial SSU rRNA". It matches the Rfam family "Bacterial small subunit ribosomal RNA", at positions 8 to 1311 of the family's 1533-position model. The record is from RNAcentral. Lineage: Bacteria; Bacillati; Bacillota; Bacilli; Caryophanales; Staphylococcaceae.